AUGCAUGUGUGUCAAGAGUGGAGGUGUUAUGCAUGUGUGUCAAGAGUGCAGGUGUUAUGCAUGUGUGUCAAGAGUGGAGGUGUUAUGCAUGUGUGUCAAGAGUGCAGGUGUUAUGCAUGUGUGUCAAGAGUGGAGGUGUUAUGCAUGUGUGUCAAGAGUGCAGGUGUUAUGCAUGUGUGUCAAGAGUGGAGGUGUUAUGCAUGUGUGUCAAGAGUGCAGGUGUUAUGCAUGUGUGUCAAGAGUGCAGGUGUUAUGCAUGUGUGUCAAGAGUGCAGGUGUUAUGCAUGUGUGUCAAGAGUGGAGGUGUUAUGCAUGUGUGUCAAGAGUGCAGGUGUUAUGCAUGUGUGUCAAGAGUG
Dreissena polymorpha is the source of this 356-nucleotide long non-coding RNA. RefSeq lists it as uncharacterized. The record is from RefSeq and is a predicted model, not a curated record. The transcript has 3 exons. Lineage: Eukaryota; Metazoa; Mollusca; Bivalvia; Myida; Dreissenidae.